UUAGGAAUAUUCGUCAAUGGAGGAAACUCUGAACGAGCAAUGCCGCGUGAGUGAUGAAGGUCUUAUAGAUUGUAAAACUCUGUUGUAUGGAAAAAACGACUAGGUUAGGAAAUGAACUUAGUGUGAUGGUACCAUACCAGAAAGCCCCGGCUAACUACGUGCCAGCAGCCGCGGUAAUACGUAGGGGGCGAGCGUUAUCCGGAUUUAUUGGGCGUAAAGCGUGUGUAGGCGGUUUGUUAAGUUUAAGAUUAAAGCCCGGGGCUCAACUCCGGUAAGUCUUAAAAACUGGCAGGCUUGAGUACGGUAGAGGCAAACGGAAUUUCUAGUGUAGCGGUGAAAUGCGUAGAUAUUAGAAGGAACACCAGUGGCGAAAGCGGUUUGCUGGGCCGUUACUGACGCUGAGGCACGAAAGCGUGGGGAGCAAAUAGG
Molecule: ribosomal RNA, 429 nt
Filed under: uncultured bacterium
Lineage: Bacteria
Description: bacterial SSU rRNA
Rfam family: Bacterial small subunit ribosomal RNA
Source: RNAcentral